Molecule: long non-coding RNA, 722 nt
Organism: Rattus norvegicus (Norway rat)
Lineage: Eukaryota; Metazoa; Chordata; Mammalia; Rodentia; Muridae
Source: RefSeq, a predicted model, not a curated record
GGUAGACUGUGAGGGAGCAAGCACAGGCUAGACUCUGGGGUUUAAAGAAUACAAUGUGUUCUGUCCAAAAGAAGGUUACAUAGUAUUGAAAUAGAAACCCGAAAACCUCAACCAUUCUUGAGCUGAGCCUGCCUGUGCUCAUUUAGGCUACUGAGCUAGAGUUAGCAGUUGAGGUCAGCAGUUCCAAAAUGAGGCUGUUUACGUUUGCACCACGUAUGGACCGUUGUGGAGGACCGCAGACUUUGGCGUGUAGGACAUCUUCUGCUUCGGUGUUCUUGGGGGAUUAGACUUGUUGGUAUAAAUGAGACUUUCCAGGGGCCCUGAACUCCUACUCCCCACCCACAACCCUGUGCCCAUGGACAGGCUUGAGACAUAGCGACCAGCCCUGGAGUGUUCCCGAAACUCAAGACAGACAGACCCAUAUCCCAUGCCAUGUCACAGGAGGAGUAAGGAUGAGAAAGUUGCCUGAGGAGUGCAGAGGAGACAAACGUAGAAGCAGAACCUGUGGGUAUGGUACAGAAGAAAGCCGGACUGACACACUAGAGUCUUCCGAAGAUCCGCGUUGGCCAAAUUUCCCUCUCUGUGCUGAAGCUGUGGUGACAUGGACACUACAGGGAUUCCACGCAAGAGCAAACCCUGGUUUUGCCAAAUACAUGUUACAGUAGAAUUUAUGAUUGACCUGUUUAAGUGGCUUUGAUUAAAAUAAUAUUUUUCCUAGAGUC